GAGGCAGCACGGCCAGGGAGUACCACGAAAAAACUCCAAAACAGCCCAGGAGUUUGGAGCCAGCAUCCUGCCGCAUCCUGUCUCACCUGCAUGGGAGCGCCGCGCAGCCUCCUGAUGGGCACCUGGAUCCGCGGGAUUUGGGGUUCACCUAGGCGAACCUCCACCUAGGAACCAGUGGACAUGCAUCCCUCAAGAGCUUGAACUACAUCUGCAAUGGUACAGAGCCGAUGUGACAGUGCACACACCAUUUCCCCAGCUCCACCUCUGCUCAAACAGGCUGGAAAAGAACACGCAGCUACACAAAUACCUCAAGCUCCCAAAAAUGCCCCAUGAAGGGCUAAAGGAAUUUUAAAUGUAGCUGACUGCAUUACCUGAUAUUGGUUUGAUGCUUUUCCUCCAACUUUUGAAGUUUCCAUCACAAACUUAGAGAAAAUGUUGCCAAAAAAUAAAAGAGGAAAAAAAGGCA
Molecule: long non-coding RNA, 466 nt
Organism: Pyrgilauda ruficollis (rufous-necked snowfinch)
Lineage: Eukaryota; Metazoa; Chordata; Aves; Passeriformes; Passeridae
Exons: 2
Source: RefSeq, a predicted model, not a curated record